AACGAACGCUGGCGGCGUGCCUAACACAUGCAAGUCGUGCGAGAAAGUUCCUUCGGGAGCGAGUAAAGCGGCGCACGGGUGAGUAACACGUAGGUAACCUGCCCCCCAGUCUGGAACAACUAGAGGAAACUCUAGCUAAUGCCGGAUGAGACCACGAUCCCUUCGGGGGUUGCGGCCAAAGAUGGCCUCUACUUGUAAGCUAUCGCUGAGGGAUGGGCCUGCGGGCCAUUAGCUUGUUGGUGAGGUAACGGCUCACCAAGGCUGUGAUGGCUAGCUGGUCUGAGAGGAUGACCAGCCACACUGGGACUGAGACACGGCCCAGACUCCUACGGGAGGCAGCAGUGGGGAAUAUUGCGCAAUGGGCGAAAGCCUGACGCAGCGACGCCGCGUGGGUGAUGAAGGCCUUCGGGUCGUAAAGCCCUGUCGCAGGGGAAGAAUAAGCAUCGGUAUAAUACGCCGGUGCCCUGACGGUACCCUGCAAGAAAGCACCGGCUAACUUCGUG
This 503-nucleotide ribosomal RNA is filed under the name uncultured bacterium. RNAcentral's name for it is "bacterial SSU rRNA". It matches the Rfam family "Bacterial small subunit ribosomal RNA", at positions 29 to 507 of the family's 1533-position model. The record is from RNAcentral.